Molecule: regulatory RNA element, 101 nt
Organism: Gynuella sunshinyii YC6258
Lineage: Bacteria; Pseudomonadati; Pseudomonadota; Gammaproteobacteria; Oceanospirillales; Saccharospirillaceae
Rfam family: Ribosomal S15 leader
About the family: The E. coli Ribosomal S15 gene 5' UTR can form two alternative structures. One that is a series of three hairpins, The other includes a pseudoknot.
Source: Rfam
UUUUCCGCCAGGCAGCAGGCAUAUUUUUAUUGGAGAUAAGAAACAUGGCAUUGAGCCCUGAGAAAAAAGCAGAAAUCGUAAAAGAAUAUCAACAAGCUGAA